GACAGGUCGUAAGGUCAGAAUACUGUAACAUGUAAAUAGUCUAGAAAGACAGGUCAUAAGGUCAGAAUACUGUAACAUGUAAAUAGUCUAGAAAGACAGGUCGUAAGGUCAGAAUACUGUAACAUGUAAAUAGUCUAGAAAGACAGGUCGUAAGGUCAGAAUACUGUAGCAUGUAAAUAGUCUAGAAAGACAGGUCGUAAGGUCAGAAUACUGUAACAUGUAAAUAGUCUAGAAAGACAGGUCGUAAGGUCAGAAUACUGUAACAUGUAAAUAGUCUAGAAAGACAGGUCGUAAGGUCAGAAUACUGUAACAUGUAAAUAGUCUAGAAAGACAGGUCGUAAGGUCAGAAUACUGUAACAUGUAAAUAGUCUAGAAAGACAGGUCGUAAGGUCAGAAUACUGUAACAUGUAAAUAGUCUAGAAAGACAGGUCGUAAGGUCAGAAUACUGUAACAUGUAAAUAGUCUAGAAAGACAGGUCGUAAGGUCAGAAUACUGU
Oncorhynchus keta (chum salmon) is the source of this 496-nucleotide long non-coding RNA. RefSeq lists it as uncharacterized. The transcript is spliced from 3 exons. The record is from RefSeq and is a predicted model, not a curated record. NCBI's taxonomy places the organism in Eukaryota, Metazoa, Chordata, Actinopteri, Salmoniformes, Salmonidae.